UGGGGAAUAUUGCGCAAUGGGGGAAACCCUGACGCAGCAACGCCGCGUGCGGGAUGAAGGCCUUCGGGUUGUAAACCGCUUUCAGCAGGGAAGACAUCGACGGUACCUGCAGAAGAAGCCCCGGCUAACUACGUGCCAGCAGCCGCGGUAAUACGUAGGGGGCGAGCGUUAUCCGGAUUCAUUGGGCGUAAAGCGCGCGCAGGCGGACUAGCCAGUCAGUCUUAAAAGUUCGGGGCUUAACCCCGUGAUGGGAUUGAAACUACUAGUCUAGAGUAUCGGAGAGGAAAGUGGAAUUCCUAGUGUAGCGGUGAAAUGCGUAGAUAUUAGGAAGAACACCAGUGGCGAAGGCGACUUUCUGGACGAACACUGACGCUGAGGCGCGAAAGCCAGGGGAGCGAACGGG
RNAcentral lists this ribosomal RNA (403 nucleotides) under Verrucomicrobiota bacterium. Its description in RNAcentral is "Verrucomicrobia bacterium partial 16S ribosomal RNA". It matches the Rfam family "Bacterial small subunit ribosomal RNA", at positions 355 to 776 of the family's 1533-position model. The record is from RNAcentral. Lineage: Bacteria; Pseudomonadati; Verrucomicrobiota.